RNAcentral lists this ribosomal RNA (434 nucleotides) under uncultured bacterium. Its description in RNAcentral is "partial 16S ribosomal RNA". It matches the Rfam family "Bacterial small subunit ribosomal RNA", at positions 29 to 507 of the family's 1533-position model. The record is from RNAcentral.
AACGAACGCUGGCGGCAGGCUUAACACAUGCAAGUCGAGCGAGACCUUCGGGUCUAGCGGCGGACGGGUGAGUAACGCGUGGGAACGUGCCCUUCUCUACGGAAUCGCCCCGGGAAACUGGGAGUAAUACCGUAUACGCCCUUUGGGGGAAAGAUUUAUCGGAGAAGGAUCGGCCCGCGUUGGAUUAGGUAGUUGGUGGGGUAAUGGCCCACCAAGCCGACGAUCCAUAGCUGGUUUGAGAGGAUGAUCAGCCACACUGGGACUGAGACACGGCCCAGACUCCUACGGGAGGCAGCAGUGGGGAAAUCUUAGACAAUGGGGGCAACACUGAUCUAGCCAUGCCGCGUGAGGGAUGAAGGCCUUAGGGUUGUAAAGCUCUUUCAGCUGGGAAGAUAAUGACGGUACCAGCAGAAGAAGCCACGGCUAACUCCGUG